RNAcentral lists this ribosomal RNA (402 nucleotides) under uncultured bacterium. RNAcentral's name for it is "bacterial SSU rRNA". It matches the Rfam family "Bacterial small subunit ribosomal RNA", at positions 355 to 774 of the family's 1533-position model. The record is from RNAcentral.
UGGGGAAUCUUGCACAAUGGGGGCAACCCUGAUGCAGCGACGCCGCGUGAGCGAUGAAGCCCUUCGGGGCGUAAAGCUCUUUCGACCGGAACGAUAAUGACGGUACCGGGAGAAGAAGCUGCGGCUAACUACGUGCCAGCAGCCGCGGUAAUACGUAGGCAGCAAGCGUUGUUCGGAGUUACUGGGCGUAAAGAGUGCGUAGGCGGUUUUCUAAGUUCGGUGUGAAAUCUCCCGGCUUAACUGGGAGGGUGCGCCGAAGACUGGGAAGCUGGAGUGUGGGAAAGGCCGGCGGAAUUCCUGGUGUAGCGGUGAAAUGCGUAGAUAUCAGGAGGAACACCGGCGGUGUAGACGGCUUGCUAGACCAUAACUGACGCUGAGGCUCGAAAGCGUGGGUAGCAAACA